RNAcentral lists this ribosomal RNA (832 nucleotides) under Gautieria morchelliformis. RNAcentral's name for it is "partial large subunit ribosomal RNA". It matches the Rfam family "Eukaryotic large subunit ribosomal RNA", at positions 97 to 911 of the family's 3401-position model. Lineage: Eukaryota; Fungi; Basidiomycota; Agaricomycetes; Gomphales; Gomphaceae. The record is from RNAcentral.
AGCGGGAUGAGCUCAAAUUUGUAAUCUGGCGGCCUUUGGCCGUCCGAGUUGUAGUCUGGAGAAGCGUUUUCCGCGUCGGACCGUGUACAAGUCCCUUGGAACAGGGCGUCGUAGAGGGUGAGAAUCCCGUCUUUGACACGGACUGCCGAUGCUUUGUGAUGCGCUCUCGAAGAGUCGAGUUGUUUGGGAAUGCAGCUCAAAACGGGUGGUAAAUUCCAUCUAAAGCUAAAUACGGGCGAAAGACCGAUAGCGAACAAGUACCGUGAGGGAAAGAUGAAAAGCACUUUGGAAAGAGAGUUAAACAGUACGUGAAAUUGUUGAAAGGGAAACGCUUGAAGUCAGUCGCGUCUCCUGGGACUCAGCCUUGCUUCUGCUCGGUGUACUUCCUGGGGUUGACGGGCCAGCAUCGAUUUUGACCGUCGGAGAAAGGCCUUGGGAACGUGGCACCCUUUGGGUGUGUUAUAGCCCUCGGUCGUAUGCGACGGUUGGGAUCGAGGACCGCAGCACGCCUUUUUGGCCGGGGUUCGCCCACGUACGUGCUUAGGAUGCUGGCGUAAUGGCUUUAAGCGACCCGUCUUGAAACACGGACCAAGGAGUCUAACAUGCCUGCGAGUGUUUGGGUGGUAAACCCGGACGCGAAAUGAAAGUGAAAGGUUGGGACCUCUGUCGUGGAGGGCACCGACGCCCGGACCAGACCUUUUGUGACGGUUCCGAGGUAGAGCAUGCAUGCUGGGACCCGAAAGAUGGUGAACUAUGCUUGAGUAGGGUGAAGCCAGAGGAAACUCUGGUGGAGGCUCGUAGCGAUUCUGACGUGCAAAUCGAUCGUCGAACU